GACGAACGCUGGCGGCGUGCUUAACACAUGCAAGUCGAACGGUAAGGCCCUUCGGGGUACACGAGUGGCGAACGGGUGAGUAACACGUGGGUGAUCUGCCCUGCACUUCGGGAUAAGCCAGGGAAACUGGGUCUAAUACCGGAUAGGACCACUGCCUGCAUGGGUGGUGGUGGAAAGCUUUUGCGGUGUGGGAUGGGCCCGCGGCCUAUCAGCUUGUUGGUGGGGUGAUGGCCUACCAAGGCGACGACGGGUAGCCGGCCUGAGAGGGUGACCGGCCACGCUGGGACUGAGAUACGGCCCAGACUCCUACGGGAGGCAGCAGUGGGGAAUAUUGCACAAUGGGCGCAAGCCUGAUGCAGCGACGCCGCGUGAGGGAUGACGGCCUUCGGGUUGUAAACCUCUUUCAGCAUCGACGAAGCGAAAGUGACGGUAGGUGCAGAAGAAGGACCGGCCAACUACGUGCCAGCAGCCGCGGUAA
RNAcentral lists this ribosomal RNA (478 nucleotides) under uncultured bacterium. RNAcentral's name for it is "partial 16S ribosomal RNA". It matches the Rfam family "Bacterial small subunit ribosomal RNA", at positions 28 to 523 of the family's 1533-position model. The record is from RNAcentral.